GGGGAUCAGUGGCGAACGGGUGAGUAACACGUGGGCAACCUGCCCUCAGCUCUGGGAUAACUCCAAGAAAUUGGGGCUAAUACUGGAUAUGACCGCUGACCGCAUGGUCUGGUGGUGGAAAGAUUUAUCGGCUGGGGAUGGGCCCGCGGCCUAUCAGCUUGUUGGUGGGGUAGUGGCCUACCAAGGCGACGACGGGUAGCCGGCCUGAGAGGGUGACCGGCCACACUGGGACUGAGACACGGCCCAGACUCCUACGGGAGGCAGCAGUGGGGAAUAUUGCGCAAUGGGCGAAAGCCUGACGCAGCGACGCCGCGUGGGGGAUGACGGCCUUCGGGUUGUAAACCUCUUUCAGCAGGGACGAAGCGAAAGUGACGGUACCUGCAGAAGAAGCACCGGCCAACUACGUGCCAGCAGCCGCGGUAAUACGUAGGGUGCAAGCGUUGUCCGGAAUUAUUGGGCGUAAAGAGCUCGUAGGCGGUUUGUUGCGUCGGCUGUGAAAACCUGAGGCUCAACCUCAGGCCUGCAGUCGAUACGAGCAGACUAGAGUGUUGCAGGGGAGACUGGAAUUCCUGGUGUAGCGGUGAAAUGCGCAGAUAUCAGGAGGAACACCGGUGGCGAAGGCGGGUCUCUGGGCAACAAC
Molecule: ribosomal RNA, 640 nt
Filed under: Blastococcus sp. I12A-02639
Lineage: Bacteria; Bacillati; Actinomycetota; Actinomycetes; Geodermatophilales; Geodermatophilaceae
Description: bacterial SSU rRNA
Rfam family: Bacterial small subunit ribosomal RNA
Source: RNAcentral